RNAcentral lists this ribosomal RNA (433 nucleotides) under uncultured bacterium. Its description in RNAcentral is "partial 16S ribosomal RNA". It matches the Rfam family "Bacterial small subunit ribosomal RNA", at positions 29 to 507 of the family's 1533-position model. The record is from RNAcentral.
AACGAACGCUGGCGGCAUGCCUAACACAUGCAAGUCGAACGAGACCUUCGGGUCUAGUUGCGCACCUGUGCGUAACGCGUGGUAACCUGCCCUUAGGUUCCGUAUAACUCCCCUAAAGGGGUGCUAAUACCGGUUAAUGUCUUCGCACCUAAGAUUUAUCGCUUUUGGAUGGGCCCGCGUUGGUUUAGCUGGUUGGUAGGGUAAUAGCCUACUAAGGAGACGAUCCAUAGCUGGUCUGUGAACAUGAUAAACCACACUGGAACUGAGACACGGCCCAGAAUGCUACGGGGGGGAGCAGUAGGGAGUAUUGUGGGAUGAACGAAAACGUGAUCAAGCCGUGCGGGGUAAGAGAUGAAGGGCUUAGGGUUGUACAGCCGUUUUACACGAAGUGUUAGUGACAGUACCGGGAAAAUAAGCACCGGCUAACUACGUG